CAGCGCCACAAGUGGCAAUCACGUUUAUUGGGCCUAAAGCGUCCGUAGCCGGUUUAGCAAAUCUUUUGUGAAAUCGUCAGGCUUAACUUGACGAAUUGCAGAAGACACUACUAAACUAGGGACUGGGAGGAGUCAGAAGUAUUCUAGGGGGACCGGUAAAAUGGUAUAAUCCCUAGAGGACUGCCGAUGGCGAAGGCAUCUGACCAGAACGGAUCCGACUGUGAGGGACGAAAGCUAGGGGAGCAAACCGGAUUAGAUACCCGAGUAGUCC
RNAcentral lists this ribosomal RNA (271 nucleotides) under uncultured archaeon. RNAcentral describes it as "partial 16S ribosomal RNA". It matches the Rfam family "Archaeal small subunit ribosomal RNA", at positions 477 to 747 of the family's 1478-position model. The record is from RNAcentral.